CAGCAGGUCCCGCUGUGUUACCUCAUCCGGUUCUCACGUUGGCCCUGGUGCUCACAUUGGCCCUCUGAGGGAGGUACUGUUACUCUCAUUUUGCAGACAAGGACACUGAGACACUCAGCGGGCAGGGGAGUCUGACUCCAGGAUGCACUGUUAAGGAUGGAAGGAACGUCCACCCGCGGGAUGGCUGCAGAAGGAAGUGCAGGAAUAGGAUGGGGUCCCGGCGCCCCGCGGCCCCAGUGCAAGGUGUUCUCAGCGGCAGAAGCGGCGGACACCAGGGCUUCCAGCGAGGCCACCGUGGGCCCCAGCCAGGAGCUCUGGGGGCGGGGUGGGCCGUGAGGGGAAGGAGAGGGGACCCCGGGUCACUGGCCCCCGGCUCCCCACCCCCGUUCCCACAGAACCUGACCCCUUGGCAUUUUCAGAGUGGAAAAUGAAGCCCCCAAUCUUCUUGCCUGGAGCCUCAUCAUUUCCAGCUCCAGCAGGGACUUCACACGCUCAUUAAACUCCCAAAUAACAGA
Molecule: long non-coding RNA, 515 nt
Organism: Canis lupus familiaris (dog)
Lineage: Eukaryota; Metazoa; Chordata; Mammalia; Carnivora; Canidae
Exons: 2
Source: RefSeq, a predicted model, not a curated record